RNAcentral lists this transfer RNA (73 nucleotides) under Camelus ferus (Wild Bactrian camel). It matches the Rfam family "tRNA". From Rfam's summary of the family: Transfer RNA (tRNA) molecules are approximately 80 nucleotides in length. Their secondary structure includes four short double-helical elements and three loops (D, anti-codon, and T loops). Lineage: Eukaryota; Metazoa; Chordata; Mammalia; Artiodactyla; Camelidae. The record is from Rfam by way of RNAcentral.
GAGGGUAUAGCUCAAAUAAUGGAGCACAUGCUUAGCAUACACAAGAUUCUGGGUUCAAUUCCCGGUAACUUCU